AAGGCCUAAGGACUACAUAGCCCACUAUCCGAUUUGCACUCAGACAACUUAUUUCAAGCCU
RNAcentral lists this transfer RNA (61 nucleotides) under Intellagama lesueurii (Eastern water dragon). RNAcentral describes it as "tRNA-Cys". Lineage: Eukaryota; Metazoa; Chordata; Lepidosauria; Squamata; Agamidae. The record is from RNAcentral.